Triticum dicoccoides is the source of this 1294-nucleotide long non-coding RNA. RefSeq lists it as uncharacterized. The record is from RefSeq and is a predicted model, not a curated record. The transcript has 2 exons. NCBI's taxonomy places the organism in Eukaryota, Viridiplantae, Streptophyta, Magnoliopsida, Poales, Poaceae.
GUUUCUUUUAUUCCACUCCCUUACUUGUUCUACUUGGUAAAGUUCAUGUAGUUUCAGAGCUCACCUGAGCUUCUGCUUCAGUUUGUGUAGUUUCAUUGUUCUCUGCUGCUUAGUUCGAAUCGGUUUCUCUUUAGAGGCUCUUUUCCGCUGAUGCUAGGGGUAGUAGGAUUCAAGUGCGAGAGCUAGAUUGCCAAAUUUCAGUUCUUGCUACUUUUUGGUAAAUUAAUGACUUACUCCAGUAUUUUAAAAGAUACUGCUUAGAAGGAGUACUUUUGAAUCAAUAUGUAGAGAGACACGCGUCAGAAGCUUGAUCCUGUGGUAGUAUCUUUUUGCUGUAUGUUCUGCUCGCAGAAGGUGUUUCUGUGGAGCAACAAUUUCUUCUUUGUGCGAAAAGCCAACACUUCUCAAGCUCCGAAAACCACAAUGAACGAGCUCUGGCCCAUUAAGGAAUGGCGCAGCCCAUCUUCAAAGUUCAGGCCCACAUGUAGAAUAUAAAUCAGAUCAAAACCCAAUUAUAUUACUAACAAAAUGUGAGAUGGAAAACGCUUGGUGUCAACCGGCGGAUUUUCUCUCACUCGUCCGCCGUCUUCCACGGGCGACGCGUGUCCCAGUGGGUGUGCACCGCUUUGCAUCCUGCCUUAUCUUCUCGUCCGACUGCUCCCAUCCACAUCUUUUGUUUUCUUUUGCUUCUUUCUUCCUUCCUCAGCGACCCAUCCUUCUCCAUUACGCACACAAUCAGGGACCUGCUCGGAGAUGUUGGAGACACCCACAGCCGAGCUUUUCUGAAGAGAUGCUGGAGGCACCGCCGCUUUCGUGUGCGGGUGUUCGAGGGUGGAUCUUCAAAGUUUUCUGCAACAUGGAAUUAGUGUGUCGGGACACCGAUGAGCCGCGUGCGAGGAACUUGAUCGGACGGCUCGUGCGCGAAGAUCCGACAGAUGUUGAGGUGGUGGAUGUUUACUAAACAUCUGCCGGUAGACGCAUAGCGCUCCCCAUGUGAGAUUGGUAUCUCUAAAAAAACUAACAAAAUGUUACGCUGGAAAGGUAGUUCUACAAAAAAAACUCAAAAAAAAGAUUGGUUAACAAGAACCUGGCUUGGCAUCAGUGUUUUCGUAAUUUUCUAGAAUUAUUUUAGGAUUUUAUCAAUUUUGUGUGUAUAUAAACCAAGAGUUUAAAAUAGCCAAUGGUUUUCCUUUAAUACCUAGCCAAUGGUUUUUAUCAUUGUGUCGUGUAAGUAUGCCGGAGAUUGGAACCCUUGUUAAUAGCUUUCGGUGAUUUUAUUUGGCGCACAAAUGUA